GGGUGCUUGAGGCUGUCUGUCUCAGGCAUUAGCUGAACGGCAGAUAGAGAAAAGCCCCGAGUGAUAUUUUACCAUCAACCCGAGGCCCCCUAUAUGCUGAACACAUGUAGAGUGCCUCUUACUGACCGUAAGGUCAAGGAGAAGAGAGCAAUG
Molecule: non-coding RNA, 153 nt
Organism: Shigella dysenteriae Sd197
Lineage: Bacteria; Pseudomonadati; Pseudomonadota; Gammaproteobacteria; Enterobacterales; Enterobacteriaceae
Rfam family: sok antitoxin (CssrC)
About the family: Also identified in Shigella as CssrC.
Source: Rfam